This 501-nucleotide ribosomal RNA is filed under the name uncultured Glomeromycotina. Its description in RNAcentral is "partial small subunit ribosomal RNA". It matches the Rfam family "Eukaryotic small subunit ribosomal RNA", at positions 591 to 1092 of the family's 1831-position model. The record is from RNAcentral. Lineage: Eukaryota; Fungi; Glomeromycota.
CCAAUAGCGUAUAUUAAAGUUGUUGCAGUUAAAAAGCUCGUAGUUGAACUUCGGGAUUUACCCAUUGGUCAGGCUUAACUGUCUGUACUGGUGAGAUGAAUUCCUACCUUCUGAGGAAUCUUCAUGCCAUUUAGUUGGUGUGAGGGGGAAUCAGGACUGUUACUUUGAAAAAAUUAGAGUGUUUAAAGCAGGCUAACGUCUGAAUACAUUAGCAUGGAAUAACGGAAUAGGACGUUUGAUUCUAUUUUGUUGGUUUCUAGGAUCGACGUAAUGAUUAAUAGGGAUAGUUGGGGGCAUUAGUAUUCAAUUGUCAGAGGUGAAAUUCUUGGAUUUAUUGAAGACUAACUACUGCGAAAGCAUUUGCCAAGGAUGUUUUCAUUAAUCAAGAACGAAAGUUAGGGGAUCGAAGACGAUCAGAUACCGUCGUAGUCUUAACCAUAAACUAUGCCGACUAGGGAUCGGAUGAUGUUAAUUUUUUAAUGACUCAUUCGGCGCCUUACG